GCGCCCGUAGCUCAGCUGGAUAGAGUACCUGGCUACGAACCAGGUGGUCGGAGGUUCAAAUCCUUCCGGGCGCGCCA
Molecule: transfer RNA, 77 nt
Filed under: Thiocapsa sp. KS1
Lineage: Bacteria; Pseudomonadati; Pseudomonadota; Gammaproteobacteria; Chromatiales; Chromatiaceae
Description: tRNA-Arg
Rfam family: tRNA
About the family: Transfer RNA (tRNA) molecules are approximately 80 nucleotides in length. Their secondary structure includes four short double-helical elements and three loops (D, anti-codon, and T loops).
Source: RNAcentral